GCUUUUAGCUCAGUGGUUAUAGCGUUCGUCUCCCAUGCCAGUGUGUGUGUCAAGGUGGUGGGUUCGAGGCCCGCGAGCG
Molecule: transfer RNA, 79 nt
Filed under: Alosa alosa (allis shad)
Lineage: Eukaryota; Metazoa; Chordata; Actinopteri; Clupeiformes; Clupeidae
Description: tRNA-Gly
Source: RNAcentral